UUGUGAGCUGUUGGAUUCGGGGCCGUAACACUGUCUGAGAGGGUUACAUUUCUCACAGUGAACCGGUCUCUUUUUCAGCUGCUUCCUCG
MicroRNA precursor from Chelonoidis abingdonii (Abingdon island giant tortoise), 89 nucleotides. NCBI's taxonomy places the organism in Eukaryota, Metazoa, Chordata, Testudines, Testudinidae. The record is from Ensembl.